UGAACGUCGUGGUGAAUUUCCAAUAAUUUCUAUUGAACUCAUUUAUUCACAUAACCCGUUAAACCAUAUUCCCCGGGUUUUCCCAGUUAUCAAGAAAACUACAAGGUCAAUAAGAAAACGACCGCCCGAUACUACACGAUAAAAUUAUUUUUUAGAAAAAAUGCUAUAUUUGAAUUUUAAAGCGAGAUUUACGAUAGUAAAACUAAAUCGAGAACAACUUUUCAUGUCGACAAUUUGUCUGUUUUUGCUAUACGUUUUUUUCCCUGGUAUUCCUCAACUAUUUUUAAUGAACUACUCGGAAAAUAAAAAAACCAUUUAAAAUAAAUUAACCGUGUAAAAAAAAAAAAAACCUCAUACAAAUCCAAUAUAAUAUAUUUCUCGUUGUGCUCAGAAUCCAAACAUAUCAAUUUACGCUGUACGAUAUUGAGUUAGUUUCGAAAUCCCGGUAACUUAAGUAAACCAUAGACUAUAGGGGUAUUAUAAGAAACCCUUAAGAGUUAACGAUGUAUUCGGAACACUUCUAAGUAUAACGUUUUAUAUGGUAUUGACCUGAUUACGUGUAUUCGUGGUUUCUGCAAGGAUAAGAGGUACGUGUAAUUUCGUACGAGGUUGAGUUGAUUGUUCCAAUGAGAUAAUGCAGUAUUAAAUACAUUGGUUCGAGUUAAUGUACACGAGAUUGAGACGAGAAUCGAAUUUAAAACUAUUAAAAAUACUACAACAGCGUGUAUUGUUUCGUCCUAUUCGGUAAUAGACUUAAAUAUAGUGAACCGAACAGAAUACCCGAAUAAACAUCACGAAUCGACUUAAACAUAUCUUUUCGAUUUCGCUUU
This is a non-coding RNA of Cinara cedri, 830 nucleotides long. NCBI's taxonomy places the organism in Eukaryota, Metazoa, Arthropoda, Insecta, Hemiptera, Aphididae. The record is from the annotation of a GenBank genome assembly.